This is a long non-coding RNA of Cygnus olor (mute swan), 788 nucleotides long. RefSeq lists it as uncharacterized. Lineage: Eukaryota; Metazoa; Chordata; Aves; Anseriformes; Anatidae. The record is from RefSeq and is a predicted model, not a curated record. The transcript has 2 exons.
CUCGCAGGCCAGCCAGAACUCAAUGUUCUCUUCGCAGAACUCAGACUUCAGAAAGGCUCGGAAAGCAGCAAGACCAUCUAGGGAAAGGAGGGGAAAAAAAUGCAUCAACUACACAGUCCUCACAGUCCCAGUGCUGUGUGUGUGAGAUGGAAGCACCAGCACAGGAGCUGGGUGAGGAACGCCACCGCGCCACUUGGGACAACAUUGGCUGGGCCUCUGCUCUCACCUCGCCUCGAUACUGUGCCUUCUCUGAAGCACCCGGGAUUGAUAUGUGUGUCUGUGAAGAGCCCAGAGGUGCCUGGCUACAGGUGAAAGCACGUACUUCCACGCUGAACUUUGGUCAGUAAUGGCAAUCAUGCGUGGCACGGUAGGGUGCUGUUUUCUAGAUGGAUAUUACAAUUGUCAGUCUUUUGAUAUUUUUGUGUAAGAGGAGUUGUUUACUCCUCCUAGAAGCGUUAGUCUGCUUCUAAUUCCCUCGUUUGCGUUCUGACUUUCUAGUCCCGUUUACAGCUUCAGUGGUAUGUAGCAUGAGGGCGUGUUGGUUUUCUAGUUGUUUUUGUUGCCGUUUUCUAUAAAUUGCUUGAAGCUUGUUGAGGUCAGCUUGUUGCACUCACUGACUCGGGCACUGCUCUCCCUGGGCAGCUCUUCUUCACCCAGCACUAUUUUCCAGUCGUAAAACUGCAAACCUGCAAAUAAUAAGGAGCCAUUUCUGGAUCUAAAUUUAGCACUACUGUGGCUUAACACUAAGACUGGAGCAAUUAAAUGUUCAGUCUUUGCUAAACAAAAAA